This 3386-nucleotide long non-coding RNA is filed under the name Homo sapiens (human). RNAcentral describes it as "HSALNT0045920". Lineage: Eukaryota; Metazoa; Chordata; Mammalia; Primates; Hominidae. The record is from RNAcentral.
GCAGAGUCAUAAUAUACAUGAUACAAAUUCAACUGUGUGCCCUUGGCCCUUAUUGCCCCCCAAACAGAAAGAGAAAGAAAAAAAUAACUAUUUCAAUAGUGGCUGUUGUAAUCACCUAUCCACUCGGUGACUGAGGUCCCAGAGCCGGCCAGAGGAGGGACACGGACCCACUGUCAGCUUGGCUAGUUUUACUUUCUUCGUACCUCUCAGAGGAUCAAAUGGAAAUUGCAAAGGUCAUAUGCAAUAACUCAUUCAAGCUGACCUUUUGAGUUCAAGAGAAACUAGGAUGACAAGAUAGAAGUGUGGCUUUUAGACAGAGGGCCAUCCUGCCUGGGGACAUCAACAGAUCUUGGUAGCUUUAUUUUAGAACUAGAAAGAAUGGCAGGAGAAGCAACGAGCAUCCUCAUUAAAGCUGAUUUACUGGAGAGACUCAAAAUCCUCCUUUCCUCUUUGGUAUCACCCAAGUCACUCAUGCCAAUUUGUGAAGCUGCACAUCAUUAUUUUAAUUGUCUGCAGCCCUUGGGUGAGUUUUAAUCAUCUCAGUGGCCUGGUGGCUACAAGCAGGGCUCUGGACACUACAGUGAAGAGUUUUCACAGGCACAUUUGGUGUCCACCAAUUCAGAUGGGACCAAAGAAACUAAAGGAACGUAGUCUCAUUGAUAAACUUUGGGGCAAGUUUUGGGUUUUGUUUUGUUCCUUCUCUCAUAGCAUAGGAGCUAACUGUCCUCUGAUGUAACAAAGAUAAAUCAGAAUCAGGCUCUGGCAAAGGUUUGUAUUUGAUCAACAAAACACUACACAAAAAAGUAGGUAGUCCGGCAUUGCCCUGCUUUCCAAAGCUCUCACUGCUAUGGGUUCAUCCCUGCUAAAAUUGCUUCCUUUCUGCAAACCUCCCGAUAAUCUUCCUAAAGGAAAAAGCCUUAAACAAAUGAUCCCUCUGCAUAGAAUGUUAAUUGUCAGGUGACAGGAGUGUCAGUGGGUUCAGCUUCAGAGAAAUGCUGAAAUCAGGGACACACAUGUCCUUUCUAGUGCUAUUCAGUUCUCCUUAUGUUCCUACACACAUCCUUCACCCCGGGGAAUCCACAGGUCUGUGCCUCAAGAGCCCCAGAAUCACUCACCCCAGCCUGGCUGCAGAUUCCACCCCCACAGCCAUGGGUAUGCCCUGCCUGCACUUCUGCUCUUUCCUCAAAGCCAUGUGAUGAGACAGAAACCUGAAACAUUCCUUGGGUGCUCUUGGUAUUUGAAUCAUUGUUUAAAUGGGUUUGACACAGCAAAGUUUAGAAACUUUGUGAAGAGAGAAAUAGGUGGCUGGGCAGGGAUGGUUCACAUCUGUAAUCCCGACACUUUAGGAGGCCGAGGUGGAAGGAUCACUUGAGGUCAGGAAUUCGAGACCAGCCUGUCCAACAUGGCAAAACCCCAUCUCUACUAAAAAUACAAAAAUUAGCCAGGCGUGGUGGUGCGUGCCUGGGGUCCCAUCUACUUGGGAGGCUGAGGCACAAGAAUCACUUGAACUGGGAGCAGGACGUUGCAGUGAGUUGAGACCUCACUGCUGCACUCCAGCCUGGGUGACAGGGUGAGACUCCAUCUCAAAAAAAAAAAAAAAAAGAAAAAGAAACAAAAAAUAAAUAAAGAGAGAAAUAGGGAAAAGUGAGAGAAAAGAUGGGAACUGUCAAAAAACAGUGAUCCUGCGGUAUGUCGCAGGAGACUCACAGUAAGCAAAUGCUGGCCGCCUGGAGGGCAGGCAUGGUGCCAGUUGCAUUUGGGUGGCCCCAUCAGAGACCCUGACGGCUGUUCGUAUUGCUGCCACCCUUCUAUCUGGACAUUUCUUGUAAGAUCUUUCAACACUGCUCUAGAUUUGUGUAAUUCUAAUCUCUGUGGCUAUACAGAGAAAAAUGAGGUCCAACCAAAAUAGGAGCAGGGCUCUCUGGAGAAUCUCUUGGAUUCUAAGGGAGGUAUAGCUCAGGGGUGACCUACUAGAAAGUUUGUCUAAGAUCUUUACUGCCCACUGGUGUUGCCAGGGAAACUGGCAUGGUGGAAGUCGGCCCAUGCUGAGCCUUAUUAAUAAGUAGCUGAGAUUUGCUGUCACACAAAGGCUGAGAGACCACCAUGACAUGGCAAUAGACACAGGGUGAGGGCAAAGCAGGGACAUGAAAGAACCACAGUUAUAUGGACACAGUAAGGAGACAGUUAAGGACACUGGGGUAAGUGUAGAGGGCUGGUUCUUGUUGAGAUACAGAAAGAAAAAUAUCUUCCCUUAAAAAAAUCAACACCAUAUUCUUGCCAUAGAGAUAAGAAAAGUGGUGAUGAACCAGCCCAAAGUAAUCUCCAAGGGACCAAGCCUUUUUGGAGAUAUGACAAUCUACAAAGUCGUUGAUUUCCCAACAUUCUCCCUUCUGUGCCUUACAGUGCAGAGUGAUACUGAUUUAUUAAGCCAAAGUGAACUGAGGUUAAUUUAAUUUUGAGGAUUUCUCAACAUGCCUUCAGAGAGUUGGAGACACUCUAGGUUGUUGUGAAACUGAGGCUGGAAGUCCCUGUCAUCCCACAUAUCUAGGUUUAGUGGGACCAACUGAUUGGCUCAGGGGGAGAAAUAAAGGAAGUACUAAGAAACCUCCUUUUUCAGGUGAAGGUAAAUAACAAGAAAAAGGAUAAGCAUGUUUAUUUAAUAAAUGAUUUCAUGAUCUCUGAAAUCCACCCUUCCAGCAUGCAUCUGUGGGGCUAAUCCUGCCUGCUCAGGCCCAGGAGGGGUGAGCCUGCUUGAGCCUCGGGCAGCUGCAGAAUCAGACAGCUGAAGAAAGGCCCGGGUACCAGCCUUUAGAGGUAGGUCAAGUGAGUUAGCCACUUUUCCUAAACAAAGAGUGCACACAUGCACAAGUACUUGAUUAAAAACCAUUUUUUUCUUUUUUCUUUUCUUUCUUUUUUUUUUUUUUUGAGACAGAGUCUCACUCUAUUGCCCAGGCUGAAGUGCAGUGGCAUAAUUUCAGCUCACUGCAACCUCUGUCUCCCUGGUUCAAGCGAUUCUCAUGCCUCAGCCUCCCAGAUGGCUGGGAUUACAGGUGUACACCACCACGCCCGGCUAAUUUUUUCAUUUUUAGUAGAGACAGGCUUUCACUAUGUAGACCAGGCUGGACUCGAACUCCUGACCUCAGGGGAUCUGCCCACCUUAGCCUCCCAAAGUGCUGGGAUUUAGGCAUAAGCCACUGUGCCUGGCCCUGAUUGAAGACAAAUUUCUAUAAACAUUUCCUUCUGAGCAAAUUUCAAGGCAAUUAGAAAGGCUCCUGUCCUUUCUAAGCCUAUAUUUUCAGCUUUUCCUUUAUUUCUGUGAUCUACCCGCAUAUCUUCAUGAUAAAUGUAUUUUUGCUUAAAUUAAUUAGAAUUGGCUUCUGCUGCUU